Molecule: ribosomal RNA, 166 nt
Filed under: Chusquea delicatula
Lineage: Eukaryota; Viridiplantae; Streptophyta; Magnoliopsida; Poales; Poaceae
Description: 5.8S ribosomal RNA
Rfam family: 5.8S ribosomal RNA
About the family: 5.8S ribosomal RNA (5.8S rRNA) is a component of the large subunit of the eukaryotic ribosome. It is transcribed by RNA polymerase I as part of the 45S precursor that also contains 18S and 28S rRNA. Functionally, it is thought that 5.8S rRNA may be involved in ribosome translocation.
Source: RNAcentral
CACACGACUCUCGGCAACGGAUAUCUCGGCUCUCGCAUCGAUGAAGAACGUAGCGAAAUGCGAUACCUGGUGUGAAUUGCAAGAAUCCCGCGAACCAUCGAGUCUUUGAACGCAAGUUGCGCCCGAGGCCACCAGGCCGAGGGCACGCCUUGCUUGGGCGUCACGC